CCCUAGCCCCGAUAGAAGCGGAAAUUCUUUUGCGUCCGCCGCCGCGGACAUAAAAAGAUUGAAGCGGAUUGCUUCGCCAGUU
This 82-nucleotide small RNA is filed under the name Flavobacterium sp. ov086. RNAcentral describes it as "Flavo-1 RNA". Lineage: Bacteria; Pseudomonadati; Bacteroidota; Flavobacteriia; Flavobacteriales; Flavobacteriaceae. The record is from RNAcentral.